This 1321-nucleotide ribosomal RNA is filed under the name Dorylomorpha xanthopus. Its description in RNAcentral is "16S ribosomal RNA". Lineage: Eukaryota; Metazoa; Arthropoda; Insecta; Diptera; Pipunculidae. The record is from RNAcentral.
GAUUAAUAUUUAUUUAUUUAUUAGUUUUAUUAUUUAUUUAUUUUAUUAAAAAUAAUUUUAUAUUUUAUUGUUUUAGUAUAUUAUAUAGAAAUAAUAAUAAUAAUAAUAGUUUAUUAGUAUUGUAUUAGAAAAUUGAAAUAAUUUAAUAAUUUUUAUUUUUAAAGAAAAUUUUAUUUAUUGUACCUUGUGUAUCAGGGUUUAUUAAUUAUAUAUUAUUUAUUAUAAUAUUCUCGAUUUUAAAAGAUUUAAUAGGUUAAUAAAUAUAAUGUUACAAAAUUAUUUUUAAUAAUUUAUUAGAAAUGAAAUGUUAUUCGUUUUUAAAGGUAUCUAGUUUUUUAAGAAAUGAAUUUAAUUCAUAAUUAUUAUAUUUAUUAUUUUAUUUAUUUAAUUUAAUGUUAUUAUAAUUUUAUAUUCUAUGGGAUAAGCUAUAGAAUAAAUAUUUACAAAUUAUUUAUAAUUAAAUUUAUUUAUGCUUAAGAUUAGCAAUUAUUUAUAAGUAUGUUAUAGUUUAAUUUAUUAAUGUUAUUAUUUUUUAGAUUUUAAUUAUUUAUUAAAAUGUUUAUUUUAAUUUUUUAUAUAAAUUAAUAAUGAUAAAAUUAGUAUAUAAUAUUGUAAUUUAUAGUUUAUUUGUUAGGUUUAAUUAAAUAAUUCGGCAAAAUUAUAGUAUUCGCCUGUUUAACAAAAACAUGUCUUUUAGAAUUAAAUUUAAAGUCUGACCUGCCCACUGAUUUAUUGAAUGGCCGCAGUAUAUUAACUGUGCAAAGGUAGCAUAAUAAUUAGUCUUUUAAUUGAAGGCUGGAAUGAAUGGUUGGACGAAAUAUUAACUGUUUCAUUUAAAUUUUUUAUAGAAUUUUAUUUUUUAGUUAAAAAGCUAAAAUAUAUUUAAUAGACGAGAAGACCCUAUAAAUCUUUAUAUAAUAUUUUAUUUUAAUAAUUUAGGUUUAUUAUGUUAUUAUUAAAUAUUAUAUUUUGUUGGGGAGACAUUAAAAUUUAAUUAACUUUUAAUUAUUUAAACAUUAAUUUUUGAAUAAUUGAUCUUCUAUUAGUGAUUAAUAAAUUAAGUUACUUUAGGGAUAACAGCGUAAUUUUUUUGGAAAGUUCUUAUUAAUAAAAAAGAUUGCGACCUCGAUGUUGGAUUAAGAUAUAAUAUUAGGUGUAGUGGCUUAAUUUUUAAGUCUGUUCGACUUUUAAUUUCUUACAUGAUCUGAGUUCAAACCGGUGUAAGCCAGGUUGGUUUCUAUCUUUAAAUUAUUAAAAUAUUAUAGUACGAAAGGAUUUAAUAUUUGGCUUAUUAGCUUUUAUUUGGAAAUUUAUUAAUAUA